This 479-nucleotide ribosomal RNA is filed under the name uncultured bacterium. RNAcentral describes it as "partial 16S ribosomal RNA". It matches the Rfam family "Bacterial small subunit ribosomal RNA", at positions 28 to 507 of the family's 1533-position model. The record is from RNAcentral.
GAUGAACGCUAGCUGGAGGCCUAACACAUUCAAGCCGAGCGGUAGAGUUUCUUCGGAAACUUGAGAUCGGCGCACGUGUGCGUAACACGUUUUCAACCUACCUUUAUCUGGGGGAUAGCCUUUCGAAAGGACGAUUAAUACCCCCUAAUAUUAUUAUUGGCAUCAAUUAUUAUUGAAAACUCCGGUGGAUAGAGAUGGGCACGCGCAAGAUUAGAUAGUUGGUGAGGUAACGGCUCACCAAGUCAAUGAUCUUUAGGGGUCCUGAGAGGGAGAUCCCCCACACUGGUACGGAGACACAGACCAGAGUCCGACGGGAGGUAGGAGUGAGGAAUACUGGACAAUGGGUGAGAGCCUGAACCAGCCAACCCGGGUGAAGGAUGACGGUUCUAUGGAUUGUAAACUUCUGAUGUACAGGGAGAAACCGACCCUCGGGAGGGGAGAUGAAGGUACUGUACGAAUAAGCACCGGCUAGCACCGUG